This 122-nucleotide ribosomal RNA is filed under the name Octodon degus (degu). The record is from RNAcentral. Lineage: Eukaryota; Metazoa; Chordata; Mammalia; Rodentia; Octodontidae.
GUCUACGGCCAUACCACCCUGAAUGCGCCUGAUCUCGUCUGAUCUUGGAAGCUAAGGAGGGUCAGGCCUGAUUAGUACUUGGAUAGGAGGUUAAUUUUUAGUACCAAAAGAGGAAGAAGAAA